CCUUUCUUUCUUACAACCCAUCUUGAUUUUAGGACAAGACUUUGGGAUUUAAGACAAAGCCUAAUCAGAUCCAAACAAGAUUUGAGAAGGUCCUAAAAAAGGAGAUUCAGAUGUCCAGAGGAGAUUUGAAGAGGGUCGAGUCAGGUUCUUAAAAAAAUCUGAUUGGUACAAGGCUAGUCGAGUUCUAGGAGCUAGAACUCUUGAAGCA
Molecule: long non-coding RNA, 208 nt
Filed under: Elaeis guineensis (African oil palm)
Lineage: Eukaryota; Viridiplantae; Streptophyta; Magnoliopsida; Arecales; Arecaceae
Description: long non-coding RNA (EGUI_LNC060388)
Source: RNAcentral